Molecule: long non-coding RNA, 335 nt
Filed under: Linum usitatissimum (flax)
Lineage: Eukaryota; Viridiplantae; Streptophyta; Magnoliopsida; Malpighiales; Linaceae
Description: long non-coding RNA (LUSI_LNC002713)
Source: RNAcentral
GGAAGGUCCGGUGGAGAACCUUGCUAAGCAUCUCAGCGACCCUUUCGGAAACAACCUGCUUACUGUCCUUUCUGGUUCUGUUGAGAGAGUCCCUACUCUCUAAAUCUAUCUUUUUGUUUUUGUAAUUGUUAACUUUGCGCUUCUUUCCGUCUCUGUAAUUCCGCCCGAUCGACCUCUGUUUUUCCUGCUUCGCUCUCUUUGUCCAUGUAUGGAGAAAUUUCAUCUGCAUAUUAUGAAACAUUGCCGUUGAGACUACUCUGCCACGUGUAUGUGUGCUUGCUCUAUGAAUUCCUGCAGGAAAUUUUUGUUUCGGUAUCAACGACGUUGAUACUCAA